RNAcentral lists this ribosomal RNA (397 nucleotides) under uncultured bacterium. RNAcentral describes it as "partial 16S ribosomal RNA". It matches the Rfam family "Bacterial small subunit ribosomal RNA", at positions 523 to 918 of the family's 1533-position model. The record is from RNAcentral.
AUACGUAGGGGGCGAGCGUUGUCCGGAAUGAUUGGGCGUAAAGGGCGCGUAGGCGGCUUUGCAAGUCAGUAGUGGAAGUCCAUUUUUCAAGGAUGGAAGUGCUACAGAAACUGCGGAGCUUGAGUGCAGGAGAGGUGAUCGGAAUUCCCGGUGUAGCGGUGAAAUGCGUAGAGAUCGGGAGGAACACCAGUGGCGAAGGCGGGUGACUGGACUGCAACUGACGCUGAGGCGCGAAAGUGUGGGGAGCAAACAGGAUUAGAUACCCUGGUAGUCCACACUGUAAACGAUGAAUGCUAGGUGUAGGAGGUAUCGACCCCUUCUGUGCCGCAGUAAACACAGUAAGCAUUCCGCCUGGGGAGUACGGUCGCAAGAUUAAAACUCAAAGGAAUUGACGGGG